UACGUAGGGUCCGAGCGUUGUCCGGAAUUAUUGGGCGUAAAGGGCUCGUAGGCGGUUUGUCGCGUCGGGAGUGAAAACCCCAGGCUUAACUUGGGGCUUGCUUUCGAUACGGGCAGACUAGAGGCAUGCAGGGGAGAACGGAAUUCCUGGUGUAGCGGUGAAAUGCGCAGAUAUCAGGAGGAACACCGGUGGCGAAGGCGGUUCUCUGGGCAUGUUCUGACGCUGAGGAGCGAAAGUGUGGGGAGCGAACAGG
Molecule: ribosomal RNA, 253 nt
Filed under: uncultured bacterium
Lineage: Bacteria
Description: partial 16S ribosomal RNA
Rfam family: Bacterial small subunit ribosomal RNA
Source: RNAcentral